Molecule: ribosomal RNA, 593 nt
Filed under: Coluber constrictor (Eastern racer)
Lineage: Eukaryota; Metazoa; Chordata; Lepidosauria; Squamata; Colubridae
Description: partial 12S ribosomal RNA
Source: RNAcentral
AUAAUAUAAACGGCGUAAAACACGACUAAAUUAUAGUCUAACUAUUAGAGCUAAAACUUAAGCCAGGCUGUAAAAAGCCAUAAGCCACAAUAAAGCUCUAACAACAAACAAAUUCCACUCGUGAAAGCCAGGACACAAACUAAGAUUAGAUACCUUACUAUGCCUAGCCGUAACACAACAAUUAAAUUACCAAUUGUUCGCCAAAUAACUACGAGUAAAGACUUAAAAUUUAAAAGACUUGACGGUACCUCAUAACAACCUAGAGGAGCCUGUCAAAUAACCGAUACUCCACGAUUAACCCAACCUCCCCUAGCCUUAACAGUCUAUAUACCGCCGUCGCCAGCCUACCUUGUGAAAGAAACAAAGUGAGCUAAACAGCCACCACACUAACACGACAGGUCGAGGUGUAACUUAUGGGAAGGAUCAUGAUGGGCUACAUUUUCUAAAACAGAAAACACGAAUAAACUAUGAAAUAAGAAACUGAAGGCGGAUUUAGCAGUAAACUAAGAACAAAAUACCUAGUCGAAAUCAAUGCAAUGAGGUGCGUACACACCGCCCGUCAUCCCUGUCAACCAAACAACAAAAUUCAUAAA